UUAACACAUGCGAGUCCAGGGGCAGCGUGAACUUAGCUUGCUAAGUUGGAUGGCGACCGGCGCACGGGUGAGUAACACGUAUCCAACCUGCCGAUGACUCGGGGAUAGCCUUUCUAAAGAAAGAUUACUACCCGAUGGCAUAUUUCUUCCGCAUGGUACAACUAUUAAAGAAUUUCGGUCAUCGAUGGGGAUGCGUUCCAUUAUGUUGUUGGCGGGGUAACGGCCCACCAAGCCUUCUAUGGAUAGGGGUUCUGAGAGGAAGGUCCCCCACAUUGGAACUGACACACGGUCCACACUCCUACGGGAGGCAGCUGUGAGGAAUAUUGGACAAUGGACCAGAGUCUGAACCACCCAAGUAGCGUGAAGGAUGACUGCCCUAUGGGUUGUAAACUUCUUUUAUACGGGAAUAAAGUGAGGCACGUGUGCCUUUUUGUAUGUACCGUAUGAAUAAGGAUCGGCUAACUCCGUGCCGUGCCCCGCGGUAAUACAGAAGAUCCGAGCGUUCUCCGGAUUUAUUGGGUUUAAAGGGAGCGUACGCCGACUCUUAAGUCACCUGUGAAAGUUUGCUGAUCAUCCGUCAAAUUGCAGUUGAUACUGGGUGUCUUGAGUACAGUAGAGGCAGGCGGAAUUUGUGGUGUAGCGGUGAAAUGCUUAGAUAUCACGAAGAACUCCGAUUGCGAAGGCAGCUUGCUGGACUGUAACUGACGCUGAUGCUCGAAAGUGUGGGUAUCAAACAGGAUUAGAUUCCAUGGUAGUCCACACAGUAAUCGAUGAAUACUUGCUGUCUGCGAUAUACAGUAAGCGCACAAGCGAAAGCGUUAAGUAUUCCACCUGGGGAGUACGCCGGUAACGGUGAAUCUCAAAGGAAUUGACGGGGGCCCGCACAAGCGGAGGAACAUGUGGUUUAAUUUGAUGAUACGCGAGGAACCUUACCCGGGCUUGAAUUGCAAUUGAAUGAUGUGGAGACAUUUCAGCAGCAAGGCAGUUGUGAAGGUGAUGCAUGGUUGUCGUCAGCUCGUGCCGUGAGGUGUUGGUUUAAGUGCCAUAACGAGCGCAUACCCUUAUCGAUAGUUACCAUCAGGUUAUUCUGGGGACUCUGUCGAGACUGCGGUUGUAAGAUGUGAGGAAGGUGGGGAUGACGUCAUAUCAGCACGGGCUUUACGUCCGGGGGUACACACGUGUUACAAUGGGGGGUACAGAAGGCAGAUACACGGUGACGUGAUGCUAAUCCCGAAAGCCUCUCUCAGUUCGGAUUGGAGUCGCACCCCGACUCCAUGAAGCUGGAUUCGCUAGUAAUUGCGCAUCAGCCACGGCGCGGUGAAUCAGUUUCCGGGCCUUGUACUCACCGCCUGUCAAGCCAUGAAAGCCGGGGGUACCUGAAGUGAGUA
RNAcentral lists this ribosomal RNA (1388 nucleotides) under uncultured organism. RNAcentral's name for it is "16S ribosomal RNA". It matches the Rfam family "Bacterial small subunit ribosomal RNA". The record is from RNAcentral.